UAUCAUGUUGAAUAGGUUUUCAGCAAUGCAUUCUUUUGGUUUUCUUACUAAGUUGUCUCUGUUUUUCAGAUUAAACUUCUUCAGGAACCCUUGAGAGCUUUUGUUCAAGAAGUUAUAAUAAAUGAAAUCAAUUCAUAUCUCAAAAUUGGAAAAAUCCCAAUACUUAGGAUCCCAGGACUGACGUACACAGCUGUCGAUUGCCGCCCUGCACAGCGCUGUAUUGUGUGCCAUAACUACCACAAGAAAAAGAAAAACUGACGUACGGGAUGAGUUGCUUGCUGUUGCAUCUCUUACACUGAACAGUAAAGACAGAGACCGUCAUGAGUGAAGAUAUUUUAACUCAUAUAAUUCUUUAUUCUAAAACUUUGAUUACUUUUUUUAUUUUAAUGGAGGAAAAACUCCUACAUCUGCUUUAGGAUUGCAGAUGAAGUACAGAGGAUCCAAACUAUCUCCUUGUUAAAAAUGCAUUCUACUAGAAGUACUAUUUUCCAAAAUCAAUGAUGUGUUUGGUUAUAUCCUUCAAGGAAAGGUUUGGGACAUUGGUUACUGUUUUGCUUU
This 558-nucleotide long non-coding RNA is filed under the name Struthio camelus australis. Its description in RNAcentral is "lncRNA (ENSSCUG00000002155.1)". Lineage: Eukaryota; Metazoa; Chordata; Aves; Struthioniformes; Struthionidae. The record is from RNAcentral.